Molecule: unclassified non-coding RNA, 174 nt
Filed under: uncultured fungus
Lineage: Eukaryota; Fungi
Description: sequence contains ITS1, 5.8S rRNA gene
Source: RNAcentral
GAGAAUUAUGAGAGCUUCGUGCUUUCUAAUACCCUAUAACCAUAAACACCUGUGCACCUUUAUAUAUAAUUAGAGUUGUUGUAGCUAUUAAUCCUUCGGGAUGAACGCAUGACAUCGCUAACUACAUACACAAACAUUAUAGUCUUGAAUGUAAUACAAAUUGUAACAAAAAUA